RNAcentral lists this ribosomal RNA (920 nucleotides) under uncultured archaeon. RNAcentral's name for it is "bacterial SSU rRNA". It matches the Rfam family "Archaeal small subunit ribosomal RNA", at positions 1 to 920 of the family's 1478-position model. The record is from RNAcentral.
UUCCGGUUGAUCCUGCCGGAGGCCAUUGCUAUCGGAGUCCGAUUUAGCCAUGCUAGUCGAGCGAGGUUAGCCCUCGCGGCGAACAGCUCAGUAACACGUGGCCAAGCUACCCUGCAGAGGGGGACAGCGUCGGGAAACUGACGGGAAUCCCCCAUACCGGUCUCACGCUGGAAUGCCGAGACCGACAAACGCUCCGGCGCUGCAGGAUGCGGCUGCGGCCGAUUAGGUAGUCGGUGGGGUAACGGCCCACCGAGCCGAUAAUUGGUACGGGGUGUGAGAGCACGAGCCCGGAGACGGAAUCUGAGACAAGAUUCCGGGCCCUACGGGGCGCAGCAGGCGCGAAACCUUUACACUGCACGAAGGUGCGAUAAGGGGACUCCGAGUGCGAGGGCAUACAGUCCUCGCUAUUGUGUACCGUAGGGUGGUACACGAUCAAGAGCUGGGCAAGACCGGUGCCAGCCGCCGCGGUAAUACCGGCAGCUCGAGUGAUGGCCGAUUUUAUUGGGCCUAAAGCGUCCGUAGCUGGCCCUGCAAGUCCGUCGGGAAAUCCACUCGCCUAACGAGUGGGCGUCCGGCGGAAACUACAGGGCUUGGGACCGGAAGACUUGAGGGGUACGUCUGGGGUAGGAGUGAAAUCCUGUAAUCCUGGACGGACCGCCGAUGGCGAAAGCACCUCAAGACGACGGAUCCGACAGUGAGGGACGAAAGCUAGGGUCUCGAACCGGAUUAGAUACCCGGGUAGUCCUAGCCGUAAACGAUGUUCGCUAGAUGUGGCACAGGCUACGUGCCUGUGCUGUGUCGUAGGGAAGCCGAGAAGCGAACCGCCUGGGAAGUACGUCCGCAAGGAUGAAACUUAAAGGAAUUGGCGGGGGGAGCACUACAACCGGGGGAGCCUGCGGGUUUAAUUGGAUUCAACGCCC